UACGUAGGGGGCAAGCGUUGUCCGGAAUCAUUGGGCGUAAAGCGCGUGUAGGCGGCCCGGUAAGUCCGCUGUGAAAGUCCAGGGCUCAACCCUGGGAUGCCGGUGGAUACUGUCGGGCUCGAGUCCGGAAGAGGCGAGUGGAAUUCCUGGUGUAGCGGUGAAAUGCGCAGAUAUCAGGAGGAACACCGGUGGCGAAGGCGGAUCUCUGGGCCUUACCUGACGCUGAGGAGCGAAAGCAUGGGGAGCAAACAGG
This 253-nucleotide ribosomal RNA is filed under the name uncultured bacterium. RNAcentral's name for it is "partial 16S ribosomal RNA". It matches the Rfam family "Bacterial small subunit ribosomal RNA", at positions 524 to 776 of the family's 1533-position model. The record is from RNAcentral.